CUUGAUGAUACCGGUGUUGACUGAGACUUUUUCAACCGGAAACAAUGGAAAGAAAAAUGUAAUACCAUAUAUUGCUGAAUAUUUUAAAAAGUAGAAGAGGUAGGAGGAGUCUCUCUAUAAUGAGCUGAAUAGAUUAAGUGCCAAAAACAGAAGAAAUAGAAUAAGACAAAGAAAGAUUUUAUGAACAAUAGUGAGCAGCUGAGUAAUACAUUGUUUGGUAAUUGUUCAUAGUAUUUUAAUAACGUGAUUGGAACAAGUACGAAUGUUGACGACUCCUAUCAUGUAGAAAUUGCAGCUUUCUCUCUACUUGGUAUUAUUACCUGGCCUCUGUGUUCAAUGAAAGGAGCACCCCCCCUCCAUCUGUGAGGAAACCAAAACCUGUGUGACAAACCAGACGGUGGUGGUUCGUCCCACCAGUCUCCAUGUCUCAAGAUCCGAAACCUUAUACUGUCAAAUCAUAACAGAAGUUUUCUCAAAACACUUUUAAUACAGAGCACGAGGCACCGUGUGGCUGUUAGUACGCAGUUUUCCAGAAACAAAAAGGGACUUUAAUAGUCAAAAAAUCCAAACUCAAAUUUCCAGAAAGGCAAAACGUAGUUGAGGAACAGGAGACAGGAACUAUGACGUGGACAUGGGCUUCCGCACAAUUAACAAUGACGUGACACACAUGGCGUUAAUACCACGGAGGGGUAGGUGAUUGGAAAUUGCUGGAAACAAUCAUGACGCGACAGACAAUCACUGGCGACAGGACGAGGCAGGAAGUGACGUGACCUAGGGAGACAAGAGGCAAGAAACUACAAAAUAAAACCGGACAUGAACCCAAACCGUGACAGAACUCCCCCCUCAAGGGCCAAAUUCCAGAUGGCCCUAACCUGGCAAGGAACAGACAAGGGGCGGGAGGGACACCAGAGAACCCUGGCGGGCGGCCCGGCGGGCGGUCAGACUGCCGGGGGGGGCUCCGGGGGUCGGCCCGGAGGACGGUCAGGAGUCUGGCUCCCGGGCGCCGACUGCAGGACACUGGAACGGGAAGCCGUCGUUGCCGGCUGCGCGGCGAGGGAAGCCGGAGUCGUUGCCGACUGCGCGGCACAUAAAGCCUCCGGAGUCGCCGGCUGCAGGACACGGAGGCUGGGCACUGGGACGCCGGUCCAACCCCUGCCAUGGGGGGGAGGGGACCACGGGACAGGUGGGAGGGGGCUUUAGUGGAGGGGCCGGAACGGGAGUCGUGGGAUUGAAUCUGGGAGCCGGUACAGGAGUCGUGGGAUUGAAUCGGGGGUCCGUACCAGAGUCGUGGGCCUGGAUCGGGGCGUCGGCUGGGGGGGGUCAUGGGCUUGGGUCGGGAGGCCGUGUUGGGAAGCUGCUGCGGCCCAGCGCUGGACGUCGUGCGCUGAGGCCGAGCGUGGAGAGCGUAGGUGGCCUAGAGCCGGACCGCGAGGUCCAUCACCCGCUCCCAGUGCGAUCCGCCGCCGGACGACCACGAGAUGGCCUCCUCUUCUGGUCGCGUCAUUCUGUCUGGACGGUACGUUGGGGAAGGUAGGACUCAGACGCAGAGUUUUCCAGACUUUAAUAGUCAAAAAUUCCAAAACUCAAAAAUUCCAAGAAGGUAAAACGUAGUCGAGAAACCACAACAACUGUGACAUGGACAUGAGCUAACGAACAACUAACAAUGACGCGACCAGUGACAACAAACACACAUGACCUAGAUACACUUGGGAGGUGCAGGUGAUUGGAAACAGCUGGAAACAAUCAUGACACGACAGUCAAUCACGGGGGACAGCCAGGACAAGGCAGGAAGUGACGUUACCCAGGGAGACAAGAAACUACAAAAUAAAACUGCACAUGAACUCAAACCGUGACAAUUCAUUGACAGAAUAAAAGGGAAAUAAAAGUUUUAUUCCUUCACGUCUUUCUCCUCGUCCUCUACGUGGACCAUCUGCUUCUGUGCUUUCAGCAGCGUCACUCCUGGAGAGGGAAACGCAGCUGGUCACCUUCAAACCAAGAAGCAGGUCAGACUGUACGUGCUGUUUGUUUGGAGAGCUGAUAUCUGACUACAGCAUAAAAACCUACAAACCACUACUUCCUACAUCAGCAGCUUUAUUUUCUUAGUUCUGGCUACAAGGUGAAGAGCCACCGUGUUUAAGGUCAACAGGUCAACCACGAGCAAAUCAUCCACCGAGAUCAAAAAGGAAACUGAUUACCCAAAGUGCAUGAAAACAUUCCUCAACUGUAACUUACAAGUGUUUGUCCGAGUGCUUUAAAAGCUCUCAAACCACAAGCCUCUUCUUCCACGAGUGGAGGGUUUCAGACGCCAUCUUUGAUGCACAUCCUUUGCAUGAACAUUUAUACAUUGGACUUCAAGGCCAUCGUUUCAGAACACCUCCAUGAAGUGUGUGUGUGUGCUGACCUGGUAUAUGUGGAGGACAGUGGAGGAUGGGCGUGUCUUUCCUGCGAGGUUUCUUCUGGUCCGCCUGCUUCUCUUUGCACUCCUUGUCCCCUUUAUCGUCCUGCAUCUCAGACUUCCUGUCCAUCAGGCCCGCCUCAUCUGUCACACAGCCACACAGUUACAUUUCCACCUACCACACGCGUCUCCAUCAAAGACAAAAACACACCAUGAACAUUGCACUUGCAUUUGGUUGAAACCGUUUGGAGCAGCUGAUGCUGUUUGAUUUCCUACUCUGACUUUUGAACCUUUUCUGAUCUUUAACAUGUAUGUGCUCCUGUGCAGGGUUCAGGUUUUUACACAAUAAAUACACACUUGUCUAAUAAUUGUGUUCAUAGCUCAUUUACACAGACUCCAAACAGCAUUCAAAUCUGUGGAGAGAGAAAAGGACCCGACUACAAGGACAGCCGGAGCAGUUCUGUGAGAACGGGGCCCGACCAGUAAAUAUGACGACCGCCAUC
Molecule: long non-coding RNA, 2898 nt
Organism: Gasterosteus aculeatus aculeatus (three-spined stickleback)
Lineage: Eukaryota; Metazoa; Chordata; Actinopteri; Perciformes; Gasterosteidae
Source: Ensembl